GGGGAAGUAUUUUAAAGGAAGAAUGUGUCCUCCCAAAGCACACGGUCCGAGUUCAAUUCCCGGCUUCUCCA
Anaeramoeba ignava is the source of this 71-nucleotide non-coding RNA. The record is from the annotation of a GenBank genome assembly. NCBI's taxonomy places the organism in Eukaryota, Anaeramoebidae.